UACAUCUCUAUCAAUCUUCCACAAAAUUAGGUUUUUUAUUUUUCGAUUAUCAAAUUCGCAAUAUUGCAUGAUUUUCGGAAAAAAUUGUGUUGUAUCAUCAAACAGGAUUUGGGUUGUUGAAUACAAUAUAUAAACAAAAUACCCUAAGGAGAUUCACAAAAGGCUAUACAGUUGCGAUGGAAUUAGAGAAGAAGUCGAAUGAUGAACUAGUAAGGUCUCGUCCUUCCAUAGUGUCAACGGUGAAAACAAUCGAAAAAAAUGUUACAAGAGGAGGAAAGUAAAAAUUUUGUCCCGGACAUAAUUGGAGAAUCGGUUGUUAAUGAAGAAUAAGAUGAAGCGAGUGAAGAAUCACAUAGUUCAUCAGUUUCUUCUUCUUCUUCUUCUCUUCUUGGUGUGUGAAACCAAGAGAUGAUUUUGACUUGUUACAAAAAUCCAGCAGUAAAGAUCUUGUAACACUUAUGUCUGCAUGU
This is a long non-coding RNA of Solanum pennellii, 470 nucleotides long. RefSeq lists it as uncharacterized. The transcript is spliced from 3 exons. The record is from RefSeq and is a predicted model, not a curated record. Lineage: Eukaryota; Viridiplantae; Streptophyta; Magnoliopsida; Solanales; Solanaceae.